This 660-nucleotide ribosomal RNA is filed under the name bacterium BA29. Its description in RNAcentral is "bacterial SSU rRNA". It matches the Rfam family "Bacterial small subunit ribosomal RNA", at positions 275 to 937 of the family's 1533-position model. The record is from RNAcentral.
GUCGACGGGUAGCCGGCCUGAGAGGGUGACCGGCCACACUGGGACUGAGACACGGCCCAGACUCCUACGGGAGGCAGCAGUGGGGAAUAUUGCACAAUGGGCGCAAGCCUGAUGCAGCAACGCCGCGUGAGGGACGACGGCCUUCGGGUUGUAAACCUCUUUUAGCAGGGAAGAAGCGAAAGUGACGGUACCUGCAGAAAAAGCGCCGGCUAACUACGUGCCAGCAGCCGCGGUAAUACGUAGGGCGCAAGCGUUAUCCGGAAUUAUUGGGCGUAAAGAGCUCGUAGGCGGUUUGUCGCGUCUGCUGUGAAAUCCGGAGGCUCAACCUCCGGCCUGCAGUGGGUACGGGCAGACUAGAGUGCGGUAGGGGAGAUUGGAAUUCCUGGUGUAGCGGUGGAAUGCGCAGAUAUCAGGAGGAACACCGAUGGCGAAGGCAGAUCUCUGGGCCGUAACUGACGCUGAGGAGCGAAAGGGUGGGGAGCAAACAGGCUUAGAUACCCUGGUAGUCCACCCCGUAAACGUUGGGAACUAGUUGUGGGGGUCCAUUCCACGGAUUCCGUGACGCAGCUAACGCAUUUAAGUUCCCCCGCCUGGGGAAGUACCGCCCGCAAGGCUAAAAACUCAAAAGGAAUUGGACGGGGGACCCCGCACCAAGCGGGC